UCCAAAUCCCCUUCCCCUCCCACAUUCUCCCUCCUCUGCUCACCUUCACCGUAGCUUUUAGCCGCCGACGACUCCAAGGUUCUCUCUCUCUCUAUCUCUCUCGCAUUGUAUAUGGCUGGGUUACUUUUACACUUAUUUUACAGUUCUCUUCCGUAGCCCUCACUCCCAUCUCUCACCCUCGAGGCCGCACUUUCUCUCCUCCCUUUUCUCACUUCUGUAGCCCUCUUACCCACACUUCUCUCCCACUUCCCUCCCGUAGCUCUCUCUCUCUAACCCCGAUCUGUGACUCGAAGACAUGUACAACGAGUAAUGCAUCCAGAUUUUGCUCAACGGGGAAGAAUUCAGGAAAACAAAGAGCUCAUGGUGUGCGGGAGACAGAAUAAUUAAUAGAAAAGAGAAGCAAAAAGGGAGGAGUUAUGAGGCACCUAUGAAUUCACAUGAAAGUAGAGAAGACAGAGUCAUAGACAAUGAUCAUGUAUAAUUCGUGUUUCUGCAUCUGAAUCAAAUCAUGGAUCAAGAGGAUGAAAUUUCAAGUGCAAGGUGUGCAUGUAGACAAUUAUGUGCACCACUAUGGAGGUGAAGUGCAGGGAGCAUGCGGAAGGAAAGCACCCCAAAUCUGAUGUUUAUACUUACUUCUCUCAUCUCAAAAAAUGAAUGAAUGUGGAGAUGGAUUGAGAAUAAACUGGACUUGUAACGAAUGUAAACUGGACUUAUGGCUCUGGGGCUUAGUGGCUACUUUGUUGUGGUUGUAAAAAAUGUGAUGGACUCAUGUUUUGAUUAUCUAUCAGAUUUUUUGUUGUGGCUAUAAAGAAUAUGAUAGACUUGUGUUUUGAUUACC
Carya illinoinensis is the source of this 838-nucleotide long non-coding RNA. RefSeq lists it as uncharacterized. Lineage: Eukaryota; Viridiplantae; Streptophyta; Magnoliopsida; Fagales; Juglandaceae. The record is from RefSeq and is a predicted model, not a curated record. The transcript is spliced from 3 exons.